Molecule: ribosomal RNA, 492 nt
Filed under: uncultured bacterium
Lineage: Bacteria
Description: partial 16S ribosomal RNA
Rfam family: Bacterial small subunit ribosomal RNA
Source: RNAcentral
AGUGAACGCUGGCGGUAGGCCUAACACAUGCAAGUCGAACGGCAGCACAGUAAGAGCUUGCUCUUACGGGUGGCGAGUGGCGGACGGGUGAGGAAUACAUCGGCAUCUACUUUUUCGUGGGGGAUAACGUAGGGCAACUUACGCUACUACCGCAUACGAUCUACGGGUGAAAGCAGGGGAUCUUCGCACUUUGCGUGUCUCAUUGAGCCGAUGUCGGAUUAGCUAGUUGGCGGGGUAAAGGCCCACCAAGGCAACGAUCCGUAGCUGGUCUGAGAGGAUGAUCGGCCACACUGGAACUGAGACACGGUCCAGACUCCUACGGGAGGCAGCAGUGGGGAAUAUUGGGCAAUGGGCGCAAGCCUGAUCGAGCCAUACCGCGUGAGUGAAGAAGGCCUUCGGAUUGUAAAGCCCUGUUGUUGGGAAAGAAAAUCAGCAGGUUAAAACCCCGCUAUUCUGACGGUACCCAAAGAGUAAGCACCGGCUAACUUCGUG